AUCCAGAUGACGAGUCCCAAAUAGGACGAAAUGCACAUUCUAAAU
This 45-nucleotide non-coding RNA is filed under the name Trichobilharzia regenti. Lineage: Eukaryota; Metazoa; Platyhelminthes; Trematoda; Strigeidida; Schistosomatidae. The record is from RNAcentral.